CUCUAAUUUCUGUAUGUUUUUCUCUUUCUUUCUCUCCCAUGUUCUUCCUCUUCUUCACAUACGACCGUCGGUGCUCCAUCACCACCGCUAUUCUUCUCUCAAUCAUUUUCAGCAUAGCAGAACGACUUGGUUUGGAAUGAGCUUCUAUCAAUCAUUUUCUUCUCAAAUUUAGGGAAGCGAGAAUAACAGCUGCUGCAGGAUUUCAGUGAGAUCCAUGAAUUCGGGGAACUGGUUGAAGAUGAGGAAGAGAUGGUGGUUGGUAUGAAGGUCUGUUAGAUGGGUUUGAUGGACGAAGAAAUUGAAGCAGAGAAGUUAGGGUUUCAAGGAAUAUAGAGAUGGGUUUGUGUUUAUGUUCAAGCUGAGGGGAAAUCAAGGGAUAAUCUCAACGUGAUAAAUUUUCCAAACCCCAGACAUAAAACAACUACAACAACAACAGACAAUUAUUUAACCCCGAUCUGAAAUCAGACGGAAAAAGGAUACUCCUACAUUUUUUAAUUAGGGACAAUCAAGUGGAGUCUUUCUUUAAAUUUGUGUUGUAAAUCAUCGAAAUUUGGUUAUUGAAUUUUGAUUUGGUUGUGUUAUCAUGUCGAGAAAGAUGCUAAUCGAUGGAGAAGUGAACAUCUCUAACGAACAGGAAUAUGAUUACGAUCUGUUUGUGAUUGGUGCUGGUAGUGGUGGUGUUCGUGCUUCUAGAACUUCAGCUGCUUAGGGAGCUAAGCUUUGAAUGAAGAUUUCUGGUGGAUGAUUGCAGGUGGAAAUAGGAGCUUGUAUUGCUGUGUUAUUUUUGGCAGUAUUGACAAAGUCUAGUUUGAAUUAAGAGAUGUUGGAGCUGUGUUCUGUUCUUAAAGGAGUUGCUUCCAUGGUCACAAUUGCUAGGUGGUCAUUGAACUGAUGCUGCAACAGAUGGCUAGAUGGCUGCAGUUUUGGUGUUAAUACAGUGAAUGGCUGAUUGAGGCUUAGCUGGAUUUUGGCAGUUAAGUUGCAGAUAGAGCUGGCAUAGCAGGUAGUUUUGGAGACUGUAAGUGGUGCUGCAGGCUAGAUAAGGAACUGAACUGAAUUAUGUCAAGUAUGGAACAAGUGGAGAAGCCAUGAAUAAGGCUGUGAAGACAUUUGUUAGCAGUCAUUAUGAUGGGAAGAAGUAGAGGGGGAUUGUCACAAAGAUCUGGUGGGAGAGUUGAUCCUUUGCAGAAUUUUGUGUCAGAGAGAAGUGCAGUUGCAAGACAGAAGCCACCAACAAAUGGACCAUUACACGCUUGAACUCGAUGUUGAGUUUGCUGCCAUUGAAAAAGCAUAUGAGGACAGCCAAUAAGAGUUACGGGGCAAGUUUGAGUAAACAUUUCAGGGUGAAGUGUAAGCGUAAUCUCCAAAUUUCUUUAAAAAAUCCUGCUGAAGGCUGAAAACUUGGAAAACUGGGCCAACCUGUGGAAUUACUUGAGAGCACCGGAAUUUCAUGGCAAGAUCGAAGAGGGCCUGUUUUUUUUUCAUAGGAAAGAUCGAAGAGGGAAGACCAAAUUUUUGGAUCAUUCUAAUUUUGAUAGAAGUUGAACUUUGUAUUUUAUUGUUCUAAUUUGAAUUGUUCACUAUUUGUAUUGAUGCUGCGAACAGGAAGAUAUGAAGGAUGAAACAGAGUAGGUCCAAAUUCAUCAAGUUAAUGAAUGUGGCUUUAAAGAAUUUAGGUCAAGCUUCUCUGCCAAAGGAUGCACUAGAUCCAAAUGUGAAACAUAGGAUGGAGGGCGACAACUUGAAGAUGAGAAUGAUGCUUAUAGCGAGGACGAGGAAAACGAGAGAUAUGGCGAAGAAGAAAAUAUGGUGGAUGGUCAGUAUUGGGAAUGAUGGGGAAUUGGAUGAGCAUAUAAUGAAGCUAAAGAGGAUGAGGAAUGAAUGGAAGUCUGACGUCGCUGGACUUCUUAUGCUUCAAUUGUGCUAUAAACUAGAUGUAGUAGCUCAACCUCUUGUUCUUCAACAAUAAUCUGAUUCCUGGACCGCUUAUGCUACAACCUAAUUGUAGUCGCUGAAUCUCUCGUGCUUCAAAAAAUAUGCAGCCGCUGCAGCUGUUGUUCCACCACUACUAUGUAGUCGCUCAACCUCUUAUGCUUCAACAAAAAUGUUAUCGCUGAACCUCUUGUACUACAACAUAAUCGUACUCGGUGAACCUGCUCUGCAAUGUGAUGAAGAUUAGUCGCAGCACAUGUUUGACUACACCCAUGCGACUGAAACGCGCCAGUAACAAGAAUUGUAUAGUGAUCAGGUAUUAUAGCCGCUGAUGAUUGUAGAAAUGCAUCUCUAGCGACAACAGUGUCGCUGCGAACCUCUUAGUCACAUACUUUCUUGCGACACCGAUGCAACUACAGAAAUUUAGCCGUUGGAGGGCUGUAGAAUUUAAAAGUGACAUCUUGCGUCUGUAUUGUGUUUGUCGGUAAAGGCCAGUUUUCUUGUAGUGGUACAUGUCAACCAAUUACUUUAGGUUGAAUAGAUUACUAAAGAUAGUUAUCUUGUUGUGAUAUGUCAACAUAUACUGGUUUGUU
Long non-coding RNA from Papaver somniferum (opium poppy), 2525 nucleotides. RefSeq lists it as uncharacterized. The transcript has 6 exons. Lineage: Eukaryota; Viridiplantae; Streptophyta; Magnoliopsida; Ranunculales; Papaveraceae. The record is from RefSeq and is a predicted model, not a curated record.